Echinops telfairi (small Madagascar hedgehog) is the source of this 134-nucleotide small nucleolar RNA. The record is from Ensembl. NCBI's taxonomy places the organism in Eukaryota, Metazoa, Chordata, Mammalia, Afrosoricida, Tenrecidae.
UUUCCCAUUUGACUACCACUCCAGCCCUUAGUAAGAUUGUAGUGGCUAUGCUUGUGGGAUAGAGUGAUUUUUACCAUGAUCUGAAGAAGGAGGUUUAUUGUGUACUCCUAUAUGAAAUGGCUGUACAGAAAAAG